UUGCCACAAGUAUUCAGUGACCUGAGAUCAAUGUCCCUUUGGGAAGAAGCAAGAACUUCUGGUGUAUUUUAGACAUAAUGUGUCAGAAAGUAGAAAAACACACAGUGGGAUGUUAGUGGGCAAUGAGGAAAUCUGCUUAAAUUGCUGCAGCAGGCAGUGCCUGGUUUCUCUUUAUGCUUUGAUGAACCUGCUAUUUGCUGCUGUCCUGUUAUUGUGCUGCAGAUACAACGCCACAGGAACACAAGAUCAUUCAGAUCACGAAUGCCAAAGUCGGGGUCGUGAGCUGUGGAGAGUGUCUGGCAGCGGGGCAACACUGUGCUUGGUAUACUGAGGAGAGUUUUCUAGAAGUGGGUCAGCACAUAUGGGAGCGCUGUGACACAGCCAGGGCACGGAUGAGGACGGGCUGUCCUUUUGAUCGCCUGGAGGACCCCAGAGGGGCCGCUGUCCUUCUAAAGGGUCGAAAGAUCACCUUCCAUCCUAAAGAACAAAGACACCAGCGGCGGUACAGACAGCCCACCCAACUCCAGCCUCAGACUGUUCUUCUGCACCUCAGGCCACACCUCAGUUCAGUGGAGGACACUGUCCGUCCACAGAAACAAUCUGCCCAGUGUCAAGAAGUUGGGAGCUGACCUCAUAGAGACCAAUAUUACCAGUGACUUCAGAAUGGGUCUGUCAGCAUCGGUUUUCUUUUCCCUCUUACCUGAGUGGUAGGCUAGCAAAAUUUUUCUUAACUUUUUAUACCUCCAUACUUCACUUUUUAUGGAAUACCCUUGUGUCACAUUCACACAGUCACACUCCUGGGAGCUGCCCGGUACACUCAUAAUCUUACCACUGAGCAGCGCCACUGGAGCGAUUGGGGAUUAAGUGCUUUGCUCAAGGACAACUGGUAGCUGCUGAAAGAAGGGAGAGCAUUAGUUAUUCACUUUCCACCCUUCAGUCACAAAAUCACUUCUCAAAACUUUACACUGCUUCUUACUCACCCCCCCCCCCCCCCCCCACCAAUUCAUCUCCGCUCCAAAAGGUUUUGGUGCAUUUGUGGACGAGGCGGUGAUGCCGUACAUCAGCACUGCGGAGGACACGCUCAGGAACCCAUGUAAGAAGACCGAGCCCUGCCCUUGUGCCCCUCGCUUCACCUACCCCCAUGUCCUGAGCCUCGCCGCCAACGGGAGCCUCUUCACGGAGCUCGUGGGGUAGCAGUGGAUCUCUGGUAACCUGGAUUUACCAGAGGGGGGGGGCUAGAAGCCGUGAUGCAGGCCGCUGUAUGUGAGGAGGAGAUCGCAUUCUACCGAUGCUGGUUUCCACUUUGCUGGAGACGGCAAAUUGGGCGACAUUGUGCUUCCCAACGAUGGAAAGUGUCACCUGCAUAAAAAUGUGUACACCCAAGGAAAUUUCCAGGCGCUGACCUCUGAGGUUGUUAUGGAGAACAGCAAGCUGCCCCCAGGCUAUCACAUCUCCUAUACUUCACACUGUAAGGACCACAGGCUGAGGCGCGGUGAACAAGGGAGGAGGUGCUCCGACAUCUCCAUAGGUGAUGAGGUGUAAAGGGGGGAGAGUUGAAACAUUUGGCGAAUGCGAUCAAGCACAGUCACGCAGGGUGGUUGACUCCUACCUUUGCCGCCACGAUAAUGUAUCAGAAGUGUGCGGUGGACACGGAGAGUGUGUUUGCGGGAAGUGUGUGUGUCAUAAGAGCAGCUCUGUGAAUGCGGUGAUUUCAGCUGUGAUCAUUACCGAGGACUGCAGCGUGGAGGUCUGCGGGGUGUGUAUGUGUCUCCCGGCAUUCAGUGGUGGAGCGUGUGAGUGCCCUCUCAGCUUGGAGUCUUGUUUGUCUCAGGACGGACAGAUUUGUGCAGACAGAGGGGACUGUCACUGUGGCACCUGCAUUUGCCAUGACGACCGCUUUCAAGGCCAAACUUGUGAGCUUUGCCCCUCCUGCCCCAGCGUCUGCACCUUGCACAAAAGCAUUCAUCUUGUGCUGGGCAUUCUCACUGGGCUUGAAUCCAGAGGAGUGCGAAAUGAGAUGUUCCACCCUGAACCUCACUCUGGUAGGUCAGACUGGUGUCUUAGCAACAGUAGCCCCCUCUUCAGGCCUUCACAAGUGUAUGGAAGUAGACACAGAUGGCUGCAGAGUGCACUUCCUGCUGAGCACUGGACAAAAAGAAGACUCUAUCCAUGCUCAUGUAGCUCUUGAAUGAGAUCGACAACCCCAUCUACAAGAGUGCCAUCACAACAGUUGUCAACCCGAAAUCUAAAGAACAGUGAUAGCAGCCGUGGAAAGAGAUCUACUUUUCAAUCGGGAUCCCUGUUGUGCAGCACAAUGAAACAACAUUCUUCAUCUGAACUGUUGUCAGCAGUUGGUCCAGCUUGUUUGGCGGGGGGUGGGGGUUGUUGAAACGGAUGUUGAUGUCUGACUUGCUUCCUUUGAUCUCAAUAUGCAACCCCGGACUACCAGUCUCCAAGCCUUCAUUGCAUGCACUGCACACACACAAAAUCAAACAGAAUCCCCCUACAUAAACUACUUUUUGUAUAAGGUUAGUUGUCUGUUAAUGCUCUCAUGUUAUUAAAAUCCACAAAAGCUAAUUACAUAUUCAGUAAGGCACAUGCAAGGAGAAUCUCCCAUAUAUGCCGACGGUCGGAUCAGCAGUGUCACUUAGGUCUCAGAAGGCAAGAGGCAGUGAGGUGAGCAUUCUGCAUUAUGCCUUGUAAUGCCAGUGGAGACACGGGUCUUUACACGGGUCUCCACUGCCCUCUAGAUGAGGGGAGAAGAAAGUGACACCCUGCUGGAAAUGAUGAGGCAGCUAACCCAUUCAUGUACAAUUCACACAUAGUCAUAGAAAAAGCUAUUUUUGACACCAACAUGAAACCUCGAGUCUUGGUGCUUUUGUAUUCCCACAGACACCUGUGAAUUCAUCAAACAGAGCGCUGCAGGCUUGAAAUGGUGCAAUAUACUGUGCAACUUUAAAGAAAAAGAAAAGCAGCUAGUGUACGUGCCAGCCACUUUGCCAGUGCACUAAGCUGAAUCGGGUAAGCACAGAGAAACAAUGCAAUGUUCAAAUCUAAAUGGAUAUUAGGGUUUUUCCACUGCCUACAGAUGGUUGCUGAUGACCUUGCUUGGAGAGUAGCAAAGCGAUAUUAAUCAUAGCGAUGCCUCCUCCACUCCCAGAGUCACUGGGCAGGCAGGCAUGCAUGCAUGCAACUUUAACACAGCCAGCGGGUGGUGGGAGGUGGGAGGUGGUAGGAGGUGGUGGUGGUGGUGGAGCAUCAGAGAAAAUGACUCCAUAUGCUUCCACUAUGCAGCAUUCUCUUUCAUCUGUGUGUGAUCAUAAAAAAAAUGUCUAGUGCAAAAAAUCACAGCGUCAGAGGAGGCAGCAGAGGCAGCAGCCCUGCCCUGCGACAAGUCUCAU
Seriola aureovittata is the source of this 3401-nucleotide long non-coding RNA. RefSeq lists it as uncharacterized. The transcript has 11 exons. The record is from RefSeq and is a predicted model, not a curated record. Lineage: Eukaryota; Metazoa; Chordata; Actinopteri; Carangiformes; Carangidae.